UCAAGUGAAUAAGUGCAUCAGGUGGAUGCCUUGGCGAUGAUAGGCGACGAAGGACGUGUAAGCCUGCGAAAAGCGCGGGGGAGCUGGCAAUAAAGCUAUGAUCCCGCGAUGUCCGAAUGGGGAAACCCACUGCAUUCUGUGCAGUAUCCUAAGUUGAAUACAUAGACUUAGAGAAGCGAACCCGGAGAACUGAACCAUCUAAGUACCCGGAGGAAAAGAAAUCAACCGAGAUUCCGCAAGUAGUGGCGAGCGAACGCGGAGGAGCCUGUACGUGAUAACUGUCGAGAUAGAAGAACAAGCUGGGAAGCUUGACCAUAGUGGGUGAUAGUCCCGUAUUCGAAAUCUCAAUAGUGGUACUAAGCGUACGAAAAGUAGGGCGGGACACGUGAAAUCCUGUCUGAAUAUGGGGGGACCAUCCUCCAAGGCUAAAUACUCAUCAUCGACCGAUAGUGAACCAGUACCGUGAGGGAAAGGCGAAAAGAACCCCGGGAGGGGAGUGAAAUAGAACCUGAAACCUGAUGCAUACAAACAGUGGGAGCACCCUUGUGGUGUGACUGCGUACCUUUUGUAUAAUGGGUCAACGACUUACAUUCAGUAGCGAGCUUAACCGAAUAGGGGAGGCGUAGGGAAACCGAGUCUUAAUAGGGCGAACAGUUGCUGGGUGUAGACCCGAAACCGAGUGAUCUAUCCAUGGCCAGGUUGAAGGUGCCGUAACAGGUACUGGAGGACCGAACCCACGCAUGUUGCAAAAUGCGGGGAUGAGCUGUGGAUAGGGGUGAAAGGCUAAACAAACUCGGAGAUAGCUGGUUCUCCCCGAAAACUAUUUAGGUAGUGCCUCGAGCAAGACACUGAUGGGGGUAAAGCACUGUUAUGGCUAGGGGGUUAUUGCAACUUACCAACCCAUGGCAAACUAAGAAUACCAUCAAGUGGUUCCUCGGGAGACAGACAGCGGGUGCUAACGUCCGUUGUCAAGAGGGAAACAACCCAGACCGCCAGCUAAGGUCCCAAAUGAUAGAUUAAGUGGUAAACGAAGUGGGAAGGCCCAGACAGCCAGGAUGUUGGCUUAGAAGCAGCCAUCAUUUAAAGAAAGCGUAAUAGCUCACUGGUCGAGUCGUCCUGCGCGGAAGAUGUAACGGGGCUCAAAUCUAUAACCGAAGCUGCGGAUGCCAGUUUACUGGCAUGGUAGGGGAGCGUUCUGUAGGCCGAUGAAGGUGCAUUGUAAAGUGUGCUGGAGGUAUCAGAAGUGCGAAUGUUGACAUGAGUAGCGAUAAAGCGGGUGAAAAGCCCGCUCGCCGAAAGCCCAAGGUUUCCUACGCAACGUUCAUCGGCGUAGGGUGAGUCGGCCCCUAAGGUGAGGCAGAAAUGCGUAGUCGAUGGGAAACAGGUUAAUAUUCCUGUACUUGAUUCAAAUGCGAUGUGGGGACGGAGAAGGUUAGGUUAGCAAGCUGUUGGAAUAGCUUGUUUAAGCCGGUAGGUGGAAGACUUAGGCAAAUCCGGGUCUUCUUAACACCGAGAAGUGAUGACGAGUGUCUACGGACAUGAAGUAACCGAUACCACGCUUCCAGGAAAAGCCACUAAGCUUCAGUUUGAAUUGAACCGUACCGCAAACCGACACAGGUGGGCAGGAUGAGAAUUCUAAGGCGCUUGAGAGAACUCAGGAGAAGGAACUCGGCAAAUUGAUACCGUAACUUCGGGAGAAGGUAUGCCCUCUAAGGUUAAGGACUUGCUCCGUAAGCCCUGGAGGGUCGCAGAGAAUAGGUGGCUGCGACUGUUUAUUAAAAACACAGCACUCUGCUAACACGAAAGUGGACGUAUAGGGUGUGACGCCUGCCCGGUGCUGGAAGGUUAAUUGAAGAUGUGCAAGCAUCGGAUCGAAGCCCCAGUAAACGGCGGCCGUAACUAUAACGGUCCUAAGGUAGCGAAAUUCCUUGUCGGGU
This 1937-nucleotide ribosomal RNA is filed under the name human metagenome. Its description in RNAcentral is "bacterial LSU rRNA". It matches the Rfam family "Bacterial large subunit ribosomal RNA", at positions 3 to 1977 of the family's 2925-position model. The record is from RNAcentral.